GUCCCUGUAGCGCAAUGGAUAGCGCGUUGGACUUCUAAUCCAAAGGUCGUGGGUUUGAAUCCCACCAGAAACG
Trichonephila clavipes is the source of this 73-nucleotide non-coding RNA. The record is from the annotation of a GenBank genome assembly. NCBI's taxonomy places the organism in Eukaryota, Metazoa, Arthropoda, Arachnida, Araneae, Nephilidae.